CUAGCUUGCUGGGGGUACUCGAGUGGCGAACGGGUGAGUAACACGUGGGUGAUCUGCCCUGCACUUCGGGAUAAGCUUGGGAAACUGGGUCUAAUACCGGAUAUGAACGGUCUUUGGUGUGAUUGUUGGAAAGAUUUUUUCGGUGUGGGAUGAGCUCGCGGCCUAUCAGCUUGUUGGUGGGGUAAUGGCCUACCAAGGCGUCGACGGGUAGCCGGCCUGAGAGGGUGUACGGCCACAUUGGGACUGAGAUACGGCCCAGACUCCUACGGGAGGCAGCAGUGGGGAAUAUUGCACAAUGGGCGCAAGCCUGAUGCAGCGACGCCGCGUGGGGGAUGAAGGCCUUCGGGUUGUAAACUCCUUUCGCUAGGGACGAAGCCUUUUUAAGGUGACGGUACCUGGAUAAGAAGCACCGGCUAACUACGUGCCAGCAGCCGCGGUAAUACGUAGGGUGCAAGCGUUGUCCGGAAUUACUGGGCGUAAAGAGCUCGUAAGUGGUUUGUCGCGUCCUCUGUGAAAUUCCGGGGCUUAACUCCGGGCGUGCAGGCGAUACGGGCAUAACUUGAGUGCUGUAGGGGAGACUGGAAUUCCUGG
This 591-nucleotide ribosomal RNA is filed under the name Corynebacterium flavescens. RNAcentral describes it as "bacterial SSU rRNA". It matches the Rfam family "Bacterial small subunit ribosomal RNA", at positions 75 to 673 of the family's 1533-position model. The record is from RNAcentral. Lineage: Bacteria; Bacillati; Actinomycetota; Actinomycetes; Mycobacteriales; Corynebacteriaceae.